AGUGAACGCUGGCGGCGUGCUUAACACAUGCAAGUCGAACGAGAACGGAUUAUAGCUUGCUAUAGUUGUCAGCUAAGUGGCGCACGGGUGAGUAAUGUAUAGGUAAUAUGCCUCUUACUAAGGGAUAACAAAUGGAAACGUUUGCUAAUACCUUAUACUCCUUAUUAACAGAAGUUAAUAAGGGAAAGAUUUAUUGGUAAGAGAUUAGCCUGUAUUGUAUCAGUUAGUUGGUGGGGUAAUGGCUUACCAAGACUAUGACACAUAACUGGUUUGAGAGGAGGAUCAGUCACACUGGAACGAAAAAACGGUCAAGACUCCUACGGGAGGCAGCAGUGGGGAAUAUGGCACAAUGGACGAAAGUCUGAUGCAGCAACGCCGCGUGGAGGAUGACACAUUUCGGUGCGUAAACUCUUUUUAUAUGAGAAGAUAAUGACGGUAUUAUAUGAAUAAGCACCGGCUAACUCCGUGCCAGCAGCCGCGGUAA
Molecule: ribosomal RNA, 484 nt
Filed under: uncultured bacterium
Lineage: Bacteria
Description: partial 16S ribosomal RNA
Rfam family: Bacterial small subunit ribosomal RNA
Source: RNAcentral